AGAGUGUGUUGUUCUGCCAUAGCAAUUGCUCUGUUUGUGUGUCUGUGGAAAGUACUAAAUUGGGUUUGGCUCAAUCCGAAGAAGUUGGAGAAUUUGUUGAGGAAACAAGGGCUAAAUGGGAACUCUUACAAAAUAUUGUAUGGGGAUUUGAAUGAUUUUAUUGGAAUGAUUAGGGAAGCUAGUUCAAAACCUAUGAAUUUGUCUGAUGAUAUAGCUCCAAGA
This 222-nucleotide unclassified non-coding RNA is filed under the name Hevea brasiliensis (rubber tree). The record is from RNAcentral. Lineage: Eukaryota; Viridiplantae; Streptophyta; Magnoliopsida; Malpighiales; Euphorbiaceae.